AUUAAUUUUAUUCAAAAUUUCUUGAAAAUUGUGUUUUUUUCUUCUUUGAUUUUAAUAAAUUCUAAUGCUCGCUCAUCAGAAUUGAGAAACGAAGGUACUCUGUAGAACGUCAAGGAACACAAAUAGUGAAGUUUUUGCUGAGUUCUAUCGAAUGUUAUCUGGAUGUUCUGUCCAAGUCUCUCGUGCACCAGGUGGUCAUAAUUUCUGCCCCGCUACUUUAUGGCAACUUGAAGUAUCGAAAAUCGUGGGCAAAGAGGUUAACGUGAGCAAAAAUCCCCCGAGAAUGUUUCAGGGGACUCGUCUGUCGUGAGAGAAAGCAGAUACAUUUCCCACAUGCUUCCCUUUUGUGAUAAACUCCAUAGACAGCGAUACACCCUGCCUUUUACUCUCCCUUCACUUUUACGAAACACUACCUAUACCACAAUUCGGUCUGAAUCUUUAAUCCCUUUUCUGCGCCCUAAGGCAAGAGACAGAGCGAAUUUCCGGUGGGAAAUCGGAAUUGGUUAGCGAUCCACUUAGACAACUUUGUUGGAACUUUAAAAGCUCAAUAGGGAGUACUUUUUUUUUGUUUCUUUUACCUUUUUCCUUCCUCUUUAAAUACAAAAUCUUUCACGCGUUUUCACGCGUAUAUUUGGUAAAAUUUUAACGCUGAUAUUUCUCUGCUUCUUUAUGUAGUGGUUGGGAAUACUGAAAAC
Molecule: long non-coding RNA, 695 nt
Organism: Chelonus insularis
Lineage: Eukaryota; Metazoa; Arthropoda; Insecta; Hymenoptera; Braconidae
Exons: 3
Source: RefSeq, a predicted model, not a curated record